GAAUGCCUACGGGACGCAGCAGUGAGGAAUAUUGGUCAAUGGUCGGGAGACUGAACCAGCCAAGCCGCGUGAGGGAGGAAGGUACAGAGUAUCGUAAACCUCUUUUGUCAGGGAACAAAGACUGGGACGCGUCCCCGGAUGAGUGUACCUGAAGAAAAAGCAUCGGCUAACUACGUGCCAGCAGCCGCGGUAAUACGUAGGGGGCAAGCGUUAUCCGGAUUUACUGGGUGUAAAGGGAGCGUAGACGGCUGAGCAAGUCAGAAGUGAAAGCCCGGGGCUCAACCCCGGGACUGCUUUUGAAACUG
This 305-nucleotide ribosomal RNA is filed under the name uncultured bacterium. RNAcentral describes it as "bacterial SSU rRNA". It matches the Rfam family "Bacterial small subunit ribosomal RNA", at positions 333 to 635 of the family's 1533-position model. The record is from RNAcentral.